This 413-nucleotide ribosomal RNA is filed under the name uncultured prokaryote. Its description in RNAcentral is "partial 16S ribosomal RNA". It matches the Rfam family "Bacterial small subunit ribosomal RNA", at positions 505 to 918 of the family's 1533-position model. The record is from RNAcentral.
GUGUCAGCCGCCGCGGUAAUACGUAGGUCCCGAACGUUGCGCGAAUUUACUGGGCGUAAAGGGUCCGUAGGCGGUCUGGUAAGUGGAAGGUGAAAUCCUGGGGCUCAACUCCAGAAUUGCCUUCCAAACUGCCGGACUUGAGGCAGGGAGAGGUCGGCGGAAUUCCCGGUGUAGCGGUGAAAUGCGUAGAUAUCAGGAAGAACGCCAGAGGCGAAGGCGGCUCUCUAGCCCGGUACUGACGCUGAGGCACGAAAGCGUGGGGAGCGAACGGGAUUAGAUACCCCGGUAGUCCACGCCCUAAACGAUGGAUGCUAGGUGUUGGAUCCGAGAGGAUUCAGCGCCGAAGCUAACGCGUUAAGCAUCCCGCCUGGGGACUACGGCCGCAAGGCUGAAACUCAAAUGAAUUGGCGGGG